This 212-nucleotide unclassified non-coding RNA is filed under the name rhizosphere metagenome. RNAcentral's name for it is "partial ribosomal RNA internal transcribed spacer region". The record is from RNAcentral.
GUAGGUGAACCUGCGGAAGGAUCAUUACUGAGUUCAUGCCCUAACGGGUAGAUCUCCACCCUUGAAUAUAAACUCUUGUUGCUUUGGCGGGCCGCUUAAGCUACUGGCUUCGGCUGGUGAGUGCCCGCCAGAGAACCCCAAACUUUAAAUUACAGUAUUGUCUGAGUACUAUAUAAUAGUUAAAACUUUCAACAACGGAUCUCUUGGUUCUG